Molecule: microRNA precursor, 92 nt
Filed under: Dasypus novemcinctus (nine-banded armadillo)
Lineage: Eukaryota; Metazoa; Chordata; Mammalia; Cingulata; Dasypodidae
Description: miRNA (ENSDNOG00000039855.1)
Source: RNAcentral
AUUACCUGGGGAUCUUGUUAAAAUGCAGAUUCUGACUAGUAGGUCUGAUGUUCUGCAUUUCUAACAAGCUACCCAGUGGUACCGCUGCUGCU